AGACCCGAAACCCGGUGAUCUAGCCAUGGGCAGGUUGAAGGUUGGGUAACACUAACUGGAGGACCGAACCGACUAAUGUUGAAAAAUUAGCGGAUGACCUGUGGCUGGGGGUGAAAGGCCAAUCAAACCGGGAGAUAGCUGGUUCUCCCCGAAAGCUAUUUAGGUAGCGCCUCGUGAAUUCAUCUCCGGGGGUAGAGCACUGUUUCGGCUAGGGGGCCAUCCCGGCUUACCAACCCGAUGCAAACUGCGAAUACCGGAGAAUGUUAUCACGGGAGACACACGGCGGGUGCUAACGUCCGUCGUGAAGAGGGAAACAACCCAGACCGCCAGCUAAGGUCCCAAAGUCAUGGUUAAGUGGGAAACGAUGUGGGAAGGCCCAGACAGCCAGGAUGUUGGCUUAGAAGCAGCCAUCAUUUAAAGAAAGCGUAAUAGCUCACUGGUCGAGUCGGCCUGCGCGGAAGAUGUAACGGGGCUAAACCAUGCACCGAAGCUGCGGCAGCGAAGGUAUCACCCAAGACAACUUUACGGAGUUGACGAUUGACGGAGCGAAGCGACGUCAAAGCGUAUACAAAGUCGAGUUGGCUUAGGGAUACGUUCGUUGGGUAGGGGAGCGUUCUGUAAGCCUGUGAAGGUGGCCUGUGAGGGUUGCUGGAGGUAUCAGAAGUGCGAAUGCUGACAUAAGUAACGAUAAAGCGGGUGAAAAGCCCGCUCGCCGGAAGACCAAGGGUUCCUGUCCAACGUUAAUCGGGGCAGGGUGAGUCGACCCCUAAGGCGAGGCCGAAAGGCGUAGUCGAUGGGAAACGGGUUAAUAUUCCCGUACUUGGUGUUACUGCGAAGGGGGGACGGAGAAGGCUAUGUUGGCCGGGCGACGGUUGUCCCGGUUUAAGCGUGUAGGUGUGUGUUCCAGGUAAAUCCGGUUCACUUUAACACUGAGGCGUGACGACGAGGCACUACGGUGCUGAAGCAACAAAUGCCCUGCUUCCAGGAAAAGCCUCUAAGCAUCAGGUAACAUCAAAUCGUACCCCAAACCGACACAGGUGGUCAGGUAGAGAAUACCAAGGCGCUUGAGAGAACUCGGGUGAAGGAACUAGGCAAAAUGGUGCCGUAACUUCGGGAGAAGGCACGCUGACACGUAGGUGAAGUGAUUUACUCAUGGAGCUGAAGUCAGUCGAAGAUACCAGCUGGCUGCAACUGUUUAUUAAAAACACAGCACUGUGCAAACACGAAAGUGGACGUAUACGGUGUGACGCCUGCCCGGUGCCGGAAGGUUAAUUGAUGGGGUCAGCGCAAGCGAAGCUCCUGAUCGAAGCCCCGGUAAACGGCGGCCGUAACUAUAACGGUCCUAAGGUAGCGAAAUUCCUUGUCGGGUAAGUUCCGACCUGCACGAAUGGCGUAAUGAUGGCCAGGCUGUCUCCACCCGAGACUCAGUGAAAUUGAACUCGCUGUGAAGAUGCAGUGUACCCGCGGCAAGACGGAAAGACCCCGUGAACCUUUACUAUAGCUUGACACUGAACAUUGAGCCUUGAUGUGUAGGAUAGGUGGGAGGCUUUGAAGUGUGGACGCCAGUCUGCAUGGAGCCGACCUUGAAAUACCACCCUUUAAUGUUUGAUGUUCUAACGUGGACCCGUAAUCCGGGUUGCGGACAGUGUCUGGUGGGUAGUUUGACUGGGGCGGUCUCCUCCUAAAGAGUAACGGAGGAGCACGAAGGUUGGCUAAUCCUGGUCGGACAUCAGGAGGUUAGUGCAAUGGCAUAAGCCAGCUUGACUGCGAGCGUGACGGCGCGAGCAGGUGCGAAAGCAGGUCAUAGUGAUCCGGUGGUUCUGAAUGGAAGGGCCAUCGCUCAACGGAUAAAAGGUACUCCGGGGAUAACAGGCUGAUACCGCCCAAGAGUUCAUAUCGACGGCGGUGUUUGGCACCUCGAUGUCGGCUCAUCACAUCCUGGGGCUGAAGUAGGUCCCAAGGGUAUGGCUGUUCGCCAUUUAAAGUGGUACGCGAGCUGGGUUUAGAACGUCGUGAGACAGUUCGGUCCCUAUCUGCCGUGGGCGCUGGAGAACUGAGGGGGGCUGCUCCUAGUACGAGAGGACCGGAGUGGACGCAUCACUGGUGUUCGGGUUGUCAUGCCAAUGGCACUGCCCGGUAGCUAAAUGCGGAAGAGA
This 2156-nucleotide ribosomal RNA is filed under the name Salmonella enterica subsp. enterica serovar Weltevreden. RNAcentral describes it as "partial 23S ribosomal RNA". It matches the Rfam family "Bacterial large subunit ribosomal RNA", at positions 711 to 2764 of the family's 2925-position model. Lineage: Bacteria; Pseudomonadati; Pseudomonadota; Gammaproteobacteria; Enterobacterales; Enterobacteriaceae. The record is from RNAcentral.